AACUGGAAUAAUCGAAAUCCUUCGAAUCUAUCCUCAACCACUUUCAAUAUCGUGCUAAGUUCAUUGAAAAUUCGGGGAAACCUCGGAAAGGCCCCCCCACCCUAGGUAGAUGAGAGUCUAUAUAUAGGGCUAUUAGCAUACGAGGAAUCGAUUGAGACUAAUUAUAGAGCUGGAUCACUAAACGUUUCAGAGAUACAGGGGAAAUACAGUUACAUACGAGCCGAGCAGCCCAUUUCGCACUAUUCGGCAGUGUGGGACUCGUAUUAUCCACUAAAAUCCCUUCCCCGCGUGGGGGUGUACUUCCGAAAGGUCUCUCCACUCUAGGGCAGCCAAACUUCGGAUUUAUAGUAAUUGAGAAACGAGAAAAACUAAAAUCAAAAUCAAAGAAUAAAAGAUUUAAAAUUCGAAUUAAAGUUGGAAGAGUGACGAGUGAGCAUUUUGGAUCUGCUGAGGGAGCAUAUGAAGAAACAAGGGACCCAUCGAUGGAGCAAGAGAGCCAUUGCGCAGCCUCACACCCUCCUGCGCAUGCGCAGUCUGAUUUUCAAGCCGAAUGUGAGUAUAUUUCAUAUAUCUCGAGAACGGUUUAUUUGCCGGACUUGAAAAUGGUCUCAUUCGAUUUCUGGUCGCUAGAGUGGAGGGGCCUUUCGGAAGUACACCCGAAAAUUCUUCCAAGUAAGUAAUUUUUCUCUUCUUCUUUAACGGGUUAAACAACACGUGAAUCCAUAGCGUACGAUGAAAACUAAGAACAGUGAAUUCUUCUAACAGUCUAGUUGGAGCAAGCUAAGUCCACGGUUGGUUUACGGAGGGCGCGAUAACGAUCUCUCUGUAUUCUCAUUAUACGUAUUACCCCGACACUGUAGUUUUCUGUGAUCACGUGCCGUGCUGGUAAUUAUCCAGUUCGGUUAGCGAACGUGUCUGAUCGUAACCGCGAUGCUUGCGAGGUGCACUUCCUCGCCGGCGGGAAAUAAAAAGUGGCCGUCAGUUUGCAAAUGAAGCCGGCCGAAUAACGUUUUGGAUAAAGGAUAAAAACUGGUUCUGACAGUGAACACUCACGAAAUAACGGGCUGCGGCUCGUCAAGUGGACCGAGUUUACUGGACAACAACGUUUACGACUAUCUAAAUGGGUCAGAGACGUAACGAGCCUGCACUCUCGCGAAUUACAGCAACGUUGACCCACUAUCCUCUAGCUAAUUAUUUCUGUAAUCGCGACGAUUAUGCGUUCCGGAUUCCCUUUUUUUUUAAACGAGCCAGAUAACGAGCGAAAUUAAUCAUGAAUAUUUUAUUUAUAGAACCACGUUAAUGUUAUUCUAAACGGUAAGUAAUAAUACGAUAAGGUAUACUGACGAGAGUUGGACGUUCAAUUAUGCUCAGAAUAAAACGGUGAUUAAACACGAACAGAUACUUCAUACUAACACGUCAACUAUCUCGAGGAUAAGAAAUUUAAUAUAUUCAAAUGAUUAAGAAAUGAAGUGUAUCAUCUUUGAAAAUAGUGCAGCUAAGAAACACAGGACGAAUGUAAAUGGAUGCAUGAUCCUUUUUGAUUAACAGUACUGUGGCAGUCAGAACGGAAGUGACGAUUGUUACCUGGAGUGCCAGCACUCGGGACCGGUUCAAGCUACUGGUCAGACAAACCGCCAGAGCGAGAAGACCCGGUUGAGCUUGCACCAGGAGCCUCGGUGCAUCGGCGCAUCGCUCGGCGCAUGCGGCCAGACACUCGACGCAGCCCAACUCGUCCAGAGCAGCUCUCCUUGUGCCGACCCUUGGACCCGUGUGACCGGAAGUGGGUGGCGAACUUUGGGCCAGCUGUACACCUCGAAGUGUCUCGAGUAACAAAGUGAUCCCAUCGGCUGGAGGCGAAGCGAAUUCCUGGACGAAGCUGAAAAAGAAAUGAAUCCUCUCGUUUCUAUUGCCUGAUUUUCCACAGUCGCGUAGCGAGCGGAAGAGUAUCGAUAGCGGAACGAAAGGGAGGUAUAUAUACGUUAACCUUGAAGAGAAACGAUCGCACGCGUAACAGGCAUUGAACCGGUGACAGAGAAAA
Osmia lignaria (orchard mason bee) is the source of this 2038-nucleotide non-coding RNA. The record is from RefSeq and is a predicted model, not a curated record. NCBI's taxonomy places the organism in Eukaryota, Metazoa, Arthropoda, Insecta, Hymenoptera, Megachilidae.